Molecule: ribosomal RNA, 465 nt
Filed under: uncultured bacterium
Lineage: Bacteria
Description: partial 16S ribosomal RNA
Rfam family: Bacterial small subunit ribosomal RNA
Source: RNAcentral
GAUGAAUGCUGGCGGCGUGCCUAACACAUGCAAGUCGAGCGGUAACAGGAGUAGUUUACUACUUGCUGACGAGCGGCGGACGGCUGAGUAACGCGUGGGAACAUGCCCAAAGUGAGGGAUAAGCUCCAGAAAUGGAGUCUAAUACCGCAUAUGAUCUUCGGAUUAAAGGAUUUAUCCGCUUUGGGAGUGGCCUGCGUACGAUUAGAUAGUUGGUGAGGUAAUGGCUCACCAAGUCGACGAUCGUUAACUGGUCUGAGAGGAUGAUCAGUCAGACUGGAACUGAGACACGGUCCAGACUCCUACGGGAGGCAGCAGUGAGGAAUCUUCCACAAUGGGGGCAACCCUGAUGGAGCAACGCCGCGUGCAGGAUGAAGGCCUUCGGGUCGUAAACUGCUUUUAUAAGUGAAGAAUAUGACGGUAACUUAUGAAUAAGCACCGGCUAACUACGUGCCAGCCGCCGCCGUA